CUAAGGUCCCAAAAUAAUUGUUAAGUGGAAAAGGAUGUGGGGUUGCACAGACAACUAGGAUGUUAGCUUAGAAGCAGCUAUUCAUUCAAAGAGUGCGUAAUAGCUCACUAGUCGAGUGACCCUGCGCCGAAAAUGUACAGGGGCUAAAACAAUUUACCGAAGCUGUGGAUACCUUUAUAGGUAUGGUAGGAGAGCGUUCUAUGUGUGAUGAAGGUAUACCGUGAGGAGUGCUGGAACGCAUAGAAGUGAGAAUGCCGGUAUGAGUAGCGAAAGACAGGUGAGAAUCCUGUCCACCGUAAGACUAACGUUUCCAGGGGAAGGCUCGUCCGCCCUGGGUUAGUCGGGACCUAAGGAGAGACCGAAAGGUGUAUCCGAUGGACAACAGGUUGAU
This 391-nucleotide ribosomal RNA is filed under the name Klebsiella pneumoniae. RNAcentral's name for it is "partial 23S ribosomal RNA". It matches the Rfam family "Bacterial large subunit ribosomal RNA", at positions 1039 to 1434 of the family's 2925-position model. The record is from RNAcentral. Lineage: Bacteria; Pseudomonadati; Pseudomonadota; Gammaproteobacteria; Enterobacterales; Enterobacteriaceae.